Molecule: ribosomal RNA, 596 nt
Filed under: uncultured Actinomycetes bacterium
Lineage: Bacteria; Bacillati; Actinomycetota; Actinomycetes
Description: bacterial SSU rRNA
Rfam family: Bacterial small subunit ribosomal RNA
Source: RNAcentral
UGGNUUAAUUUGGANGCAACGGCGGAAGAACCUUACCAGGGGCUUGACAUUCAGGNGAAGGCGGGGGANAACGUCGUGGCCGAGAGGANGCCUGNAACAGGGUGGUUGCAUGGGCUGUCGUCAGCUCGUGUCGUGAGAUAGUUGGGUUAAGUCCCGCAACGAGCGCAACCCUCGUCGCAUGUUGCCAGCGGNUCGGCCGGGCACCCAUGCGAGACCGCCGGCGUUAAGCCGGAGGAAGGUGGGGANGACGUCAAGUCAUCAUGCCCCUUAUGUCCUGGGCUGCACACGUGCUACAAUGGUCGGCACAAUGGGCUGCCAGCCCGCGAGGGCGAGCGAAUCCCUAAAGCCGGCCCCAGUUCGGAUUGGAGGCUGCAACCCGCCUCCAUGAAGUCGGAGUUGCUAGUAAUCGCGGAUCAGCACGCCGCGGUGAAUGCGUUCCCGGGCCUUGUACACACCGCCCGUCACACCACCCGAGUCGAUUGCACCCGAAGUCGCCGGCCCAACCCGCAAGGGAGGGAGGCGCCGAAGAGUGUGGUUGGUAAGGGGGGUGAAGUCGUAACAAGGUAGCCGUANGAGAACGUGCGGCUGGAUCACCU